RNAcentral lists this ribosomal RNA (324 nucleotides) under uncultured bacterium. Its description in RNAcentral is "bacterial SSU rRNA". It matches the Rfam family "Bacterial small subunit ribosomal RNA", at positions 28 to 334 of the family's 1533-position model. The record is from RNAcentral.
GAUGAACGCUGGCGGCGUGCUUAACACAUGCAAGUCGAACGAAGCACCUUGAUUUGAUUCUUCGGAUGAAGAUCUUGGUGACUGAGUGGCGGACGGGUGAGUAACGCGUGGGUAACCUGCCUCAUACAGGGGGAUAACAGUUAGAAAUGACUGCUAAUACCGCAUAAGACCACAGCACCGCAUGGUGCAGGGGCAAAAACUCCGGUGGUAUGAGAUGGACCCGCGUCUGAUUAGGUAGUUGGUGGGGUAACGGCCUACCAAGGCGACGAUCAGUAGCCGGUCUGAGAGGAUGAACGGCCACAUUGGAACUGAGACACGGUCCAG